GUAUACCCAUGCCGGAUUACAUUGCAGCCUUGAACCAGUGCCCAGCCUCCUUCUGUGUGGCUGUGAGCACUGAAGGGGGUUGUAUAGUG
Molecule: small nucleolar RNA, 89 nt
Organism: Myotis lucifugus (little brown bat)
Lineage: Eukaryota; Metazoa; Chordata; Mammalia; Chiroptera; Vespertilionidae
Source: Ensembl